GAGAAUUGGUUGAAUCCAGGAGGCAGAGGUUGCAGUGAGCCGAGAUCACACCACUGCACUCCAGCCUGGGCAACACAGAGAGACUCCGUUUCAUAAAUAAAUAAAUAAAACCUAGAAACUCUGGGCAUGUGGGGCUGGAAAGGGGUUCCAGGAAGAGAGGGCAGCCUGCGUGACCAGACAGGGGGCAAAUGAGCCUGGGUCAGGUGUUGGCAAGGGCCCUGUCGUGGGGUAGGAGUGCCUCCCGGGUGUGCUGAACUGGCCAGAAUGUGGAUUCGGGACUCAUAGUGCAGGUUCCAGGCCAGACCCUGCCCUUCCUGGCUGUGUGCCAGUCACAGCAAGUCACUUCCUCUCUCUGAGUCUUGAGUUUCUCUCUAGGAAAUCCCAAACCUUUCCCAGGGCUCAGCAGAGCUGGCAGACUGGUCACCCACCACCUAAAAUGGGGACACUGAGGCCCAGCACAGGCUGUUUGUCAUGUCCACACCUCUCAGGGCCCCCAGCCUUCCCCAGCCAGAACUGAGCACCAGGUGAGGGCUGGACAUGGAGGAAGGCCGUUCGUGCACAGGAGCAUGUAUGCUGACAAACACGUGUGCACACACAUGCCCACCGUGCAGGGAAGGCCCUCAUAGUCAUGCUAGCCCCAGACAUGCACACUCUUGCUGUCACCCAAACACGCGCAGACACCCGCACACUCGAGCUGCCAGCAUUGGGAGCUGGGGGCGGGGCGGGUGCCCUUCAGGAGCAGGGACUCGGCUCCUCUGCCCGCCCCGCGGGGCUUGCUGCAGAUGCCAGGGGUUAUUUUAAGCCUGGAUCAAUGGAUGAGUUUUGGUGACACAGGCUUAGUGGUAGUGGAGGGGGGCAGGCAGAAGAGAUAAGGGGUGGCUGCCCUGGAGCCUUGAUGGGGUGAGAGACCCCGGGGUCCAGGGCAAAGGGGUCACUCCUCGGCCGGGCUGCUCUAUCUCCAGAUCCCCUCACCCGGCACAUGGCCAGGCACCUGGGGCAGUGUCAGCUGAAUGGGCGAUCAGAUCCCAGGACUCAGCCAGUCAGGGUCAGCUGGGCUCUGUGUUCACAGCUGCCCUCUCCUGCUCCACUCACUCCCCGCGGCCAGGUGUUCCCAUGGAGAGAAGAGGGUAUCCAGUGCCUGGCACAGACCCAGUAGUUAUGGUUACCUAUGGCUGCUGGCUGACCACUGAAUCAGAUUGAGACGGGGAGGAAGGAAUGGCCCUAAGGAAAGGAAGCAGGAAAGGACGCUCCAGAAAGUAGAGCUCAGAAGCUCUGAGAAGAAUCACAAAUGAGAAGGUUUUUUUUUGUUUUUUUUUUUUUGUUUGUUUGUUUGUUUUUUUAAGACGGAGUCUCAAUCUGUUUCCCAGGCUGGAGGGCAAUGGUGUGAUCUCAGCUCACUGCAAACUCUGCCUCCCAGGUUCAAGCGAUUCUCUGGCCUCAGCCUUCCGAGUAGCUGGGAUUACAGGCAUAUGCCACCAUGCCCAGCUAAUUUUUGUAUUUUUAGUAGAGGUGGGGUUUCACCAUGUUGGUCAGCCUAGUCUCCAACUCCUGACCUUGUGAUCCACCUGCCUCAGCCUCCCAAAGUGUUGGGAUUACAGGCGUGAGCCACUGCCCCCAGCCAAACGAAAAGUUUAAGGAUGGCAAAAAGUAAACCACAAACUAGUUACAAUCCAGCAUGUAAAUGUGGCAUAUUUUAGUGUGGUUGUCUCUGGACAUGGGAUUAAAGCAAUUUCAUUUAA
Molecule: long non-coding RNA, 1739 nt
Organism: Homo sapiens (human)
Lineage: Eukaryota; Metazoa; Chordata; Mammalia; Primates; Hominidae
Exons: 2
Source: RefSeq, a predicted model, not a curated record